Molecule: ribosomal RNA, 513 nt
Filed under: Triticum aestivum (bread wheat)
Lineage: Eukaryota; Viridiplantae; Streptophyta; Magnoliopsida; Poales; Poaceae
Description: partial small subunit ribosomal RNA
Source: RNAcentral
AUGGGCCAGGUUGGCAUGCGUCAGCUCACUCAUGAUAGUACUCCACCACCACCUACGAGAUGGCAUAUAUCAGUACUAGCAAUCGCUAACAAUUAUCACGAGGCCAAUACCAAAGAAAGAUCAAAUAGGGAACAAAGAUGGUGUAAACCAGAACCCAAAUUUGUGAAGGUAAAUGUGGAUGCUGCUUUCUUUGUUGAUGAAGGAGUGGGAGCUACAGCAGCUGUAAUUAGGGAUGCUAAUGGGAAUUUCCUAGCUGCACAGUGCAGGUAUAUCACCCAUGUGGCGGAUGUGGUGACAGCCGAAGCAACGGCUAUGCGUGAUGGGCUUAUUUUUGCAAAUUCUUUAGGGCUCCCUCGGGUGGAAGCUGAAUCAGAUUCCCAAAAUGUAAUCAAUUUCUGUGAUGGUCAGUCCAAGUGGUGGGAUGCAGCAGCGGCACUAUUUGCGGAGUGUGUGGAUGUGGCAUCAUCGAUCGGGAAGAUGAGCCCCCAGGCUGUCUGGUAUCCAAUCUCAUAG